Molecule: ribosomal RNA, 253 nt
Filed under: uncultured bacterium
Lineage: Bacteria
Description: partial 16S ribosomal RNA
Rfam family: Bacterial small subunit ribosomal RNA
Source: RNAcentral
UACGAAGGGGGCUAGCGUUGCUCGGAAUCACUGGGCUUAAAGGGAGCGUAGGCGGGCUAUCAAGUCUGGGGUGAAAUGCCACGGCUCAACCGUGGAACUGCCUCAGAUACUGACGGCCUCGAGGGAGAUAGGGGCAUGCGGAACUGUAGGUGGAGCGGUGAAAUGCGUUGAUAUCUACAGGAACUCCGGUGGCGAAAGCGGCGUGCUGGAUCUCUUCUGACGCUGAGGCUCGAAAGCUAGGGGAGCAAACGGG